CCACAGCCUGAGAUCUGGGCUGGACCCAGCCCAGCACCGUUCACAGAGCUGCUGUUCCUCCCCGGGGCAGACAAUGAAACAGCAGCCUCUGUAGGCAGAGAAUCCAUACCCUUGAGAAGGCGGUAACCAGAGGGGAGGGAGAAUUCUCGUUUCCACUGGUCUCCUGCAGACCUUUCUCGGAUUGACUCCGCUUCUGUAUAUUCGUCUUCAAGGGAGAGAAGAAACGGAGCUCACCAUGGCCUCAGAGAGUGGAGCUGCUCUGUGGAGCCUUCUCCUCACCUUUGCUUUUCUCUUCUCCUGCUGCGAAGCUCAAGUGGUUCAGAGCCCCGAGUCGCUGGUUACAGGGGAAGGGAAGGUCUCCACCAUGUCCUGCUCUUUCACCAGCGCUUUCCAAGCCUUCCAGUGGUACCAGCAGCUCCCUGGGCAAGGGCCGACCCACCUGCUGACCGCGAGCUCCAAUGAGAAUGUCACUGUGGGGCGAUUCAUAGGCGAGCGCCUGGAAAAUGGGAAACGCAGCUCCCUGCACAUCACCGACUCCCAGCUGGGGGACUCAGGCAGCUACCUCUGUGCGGUGGAUGCACAGUGACACAGGCAGAGCUGGGCUCAGGGCAAAAACCCUCAGUCUCUGACAGGCAGCUUGGCGGAGGAGAUGCCGGGGCAGUUCCCCGGGGGGUGAAAAGCAGUGUAAAUCCAUGGUAGCCAAGGGGACUCAUCCUCAGCUGUUAUAAAUGGGCAGAGCUCCAGUGGAGUCGAUGGGGCCAUAUCAUAAGGCGCUGGGGACUGGAACCCAGGUCUGCAGAUCCUGGGACAGC
Molecule: non-coding RNA, 812 nt
Organism: Trachemys scripta elegans
Lineage: Eukaryota; Metazoa; Chordata; Testudines; Emydidae
Source: the annotation of a RefSeq genome assembly